AGAAAGCAAGCCGUGAACCUGUAGAA
Molecule: non-coding RNA, 26 nt
Filed under: Mus musculus (house mouse)
Lineage: Eukaryota; Metazoa; Chordata; Mammalia; Rodentia; Muridae
Source: RNAcentral